This 153-nucleotide small RNA is filed under the name Marmota monax (woodchuck). The record is from RNAcentral. Lineage: Eukaryota; Metazoa; Chordata; Mammalia; Rodentia; Sciuridae.
CAUAAGUAUAGAAAAAAAAAUCCUUGAAUGUUGAAUGUUGAAUUUGUUAUGAACUCUUGGUUUUCAAUACAUACAAAUAUAGGAAUAAAUAAAGCUGUGAAUGUGUGUGUGUGUGUGUGUGCACGCAGGCAAACACAUAUUUCCUAGUUCUGU